GUGGUAGCUCAGUUGGUAAAGCGUCAGGCUCGCAAUCUAAGGGUCGCAGGUUUGAUACUCAGUCAGACCAGCCAGGAUCG
Potamilus streckersoni is the source of this 80-nucleotide non-coding RNA. Lineage: Eukaryota; Metazoa; Mollusca; Bivalvia; Unionida; Unionidae. The record is from the annotation of a GenBank genome assembly.